CUCACUAUUAAGUCGGCUAAUUUUCCAAAACCCCCUCAGCUGAAGCACACCUUGCCAAAAUCUCAAUUUCUUGAUCUGGAACCUCGUCCAGUCGCUCCAUGGCAGCGCCUUAGGUCAAUACGUCGACGGCAGCCGCACUUGGUCGUCCGCGUCGAACGACUCCACUGCCCAGUGAUCGUUUCGAAGGUGACUGCGCUUGGCUUGCCACCUCAUCCGUUCGCCUCAAACUGCUCCACAGCGACGUGAUCCUUUCGACGGCCUCGGCGAGAUCCACCACGUUUGGCCAAACUCCUAGACGGCCCGCCUUCUUGUCGGUUCCCAACGCCGAGUAGGCCGCCGACCGCAACCUGCACACGAUCGACUACAUGCGCCCACAUCCAGCGGUUGCUCCUCCACCUGACGGCGUACACCUGCUGCAAGCGGGAGUCGUGUGGCUGGCAACUCUUGCAUAGCAAACAAGGAGCACGUCUUUGGAUUUAUUGUUCCUGUUCACUGUUUGUAGUACUUGGGUACUUGCAGAUUGUAGGUUAUGAGCCAAUCCAUCUAAUUGUUCUCUAUUGAGUGUGUGUGUAGCUUCAGAGUUCGGAAUUUGAACUGUACAUUGCUACUGAGUAUAGUGUCCAGAGACAAGUGGAUUUACUAUUUUGUGCAUGGAAAAUUAGAAAUAAACAAAUUUUGUAUUGCCUAGUUCUUGGUAUUUUGAGGUCCU
This 709-nucleotide long non-coding RNA is filed under the name Hordeum vulgare. Its description in RNAcentral is "long non-coding RNA (HVUL_LNC010088)". Lineage: Eukaryota; Viridiplantae; Streptophyta; Magnoliopsida; Poales; Poaceae. The record is from RNAcentral.